GCUUCUCAUUUUAAUGGCGCUUGUAGUUGCAGUGUAGGCUGCCAUUGCGGCCUACACUGUGUAGUCCGUUGUUGUGUUUGUUGCGUAGUUUAUAAUUAUAAACUAUUCGUAUUUCAAAAUAAGCGUGAUGAAUCUAUUGCCCGAAAUGAGUUCUCAGUUCAGCAAACAAGAUUACUGGAAAAACUUUUGAAAAGAAGAAGCAAGAAAUCAUUUGAAUGGUAUAGAACCUAUCAGUAGCGCAACAGUGUAUUUCAUAAACACAUCAACCCCUGAGAUUCUAAUUGGAAAUUGUAGAAAUAUAAGCUUUUUGUGUUGGUCUGCGUAAUCCUGGCUCUGUCUUAUAUCAUCCAUAAAGCAUCAACACAAGUGAGUUCAUAGAGAUCAUUAACACCUCAAAGGCUGCUGGUAUACCUGUAAUCUCUAAUCAGCUCCUAAACAAUUACACCAGAAAUAUGUGCCACCAAUAAAAGGAAGGAUUUAUAAAAAAGUGCCCAAAUAAGUAAAUGGGAAACAAUGUUUCCUUUCAUUUUUUUACUUCUAUCUUUUUAUAGAUGACAGAAUAUUUUGAAAAAGUAAUAUGUGCUAUAUGACGGUUGCAAAUUGAUUAAAUUUGACAUGAAUCGAAUCUGCUUACUGAAACUAGAGGUGGAUGCAGAUUCUAGUUAAUGAAGCCCCUGCUGGAAAUAAAAUCUGUUUUCAUCAGAAUCAUUAGUUAAAUAACAGUUCUGAUUUUUUCAGACGCAGUUGGACGCUGAAACAUUGCGAAGAUUAGAUUGGCUUUUUUUACGUAUGAUAGAAAAGCCGUCCACCUAGUGGAACAAAGGUAGUAGUAGUAGUAGUAGUAGUAGUAGUAGUAGUAGUUUAUCUUAUUGCAUUUGGCUUUUCUAUCAUGUGGUGUGAUUUAUUUGGACGGCUUUUCUAUCAAAGUAUUUUCCAUCAUCAUUCGUGGACGGCUUCUUUGCCAUAGGAGAUCGCCUAGACAUCAACUUCAAAGAAGCCGUCCAUGAAUGAUGAUGAUGGCAAAAUAUCGAUCAAAAGGAAGUCAGCACAGACAUCUCGGUUUUUAGUAGUAUAUACGUAUAUAUAGUUUUAGUAGCCUAUUACUUGCAUAAUUAGUAAUCUUUUGGCCCGUUUCUCCUUGACAUGUGAUAUGCUGAGCCUGGAGUGGAUUUGCACAAUGAGACUUAGACCUCGAAUGCUUGGACAACAGCAAGGAAGGUGUCCGUGAAGUUUUCGACAUCGGACCAUUUCUGGCUGUUCAUUUCAUUGUCAAAACCGUCUAUGUAUCAUGUAAUGAAAAAUCUCAAGAAACCAUUGUUUACGGUCAUCAUAAAGGUAUCUUACUGUAACCAAAAAAACCUUCAACUUGCAUCCUUCUUCAUCGUAUGCCAACUGUUAGCCGAGUUGUCAUUAAAAUGGAUGAUAAAAGGAAAUCGCUCACAUAUUGCAGGCAUGUAGCGGUUGACAAUAUGGUGAAAUGAUUGCGACCUACGUCUUUCACGGAACGUCUACGGAUUUGUACAAUUGCUGAGUGGCUUUAGCACUUUGGGAAAUGAAGUCCCAAGUAAAAUUAAACUUUUCUUCUCUUGCUAAUUAGUUAAAAAAGAAAUUUCUAAUAAUGCAAGGAGACGAUUCUGAUGGAAAUUCAGUAUACAAUGGAAAGUCAUGGCGUGAGUGUUGAUCUUCCGUUGCCUCGCUAUCCGAUCUGACUAGUUGUCUGGGUAAAAUCUUUGGCAUCACCAACAACGGGUUGAUUUAAAUGUAAAAGUUUGCAAUAGAUUCUUACCAAGUUAUCUUUCUAGGUUUUCGCUGUGAUUUUCAAUCAGUAUGCCGUUUCAGAAUCACCUGCCAGAAUUUUUUUACAGGAACAUGGCAAAUGGUAAAAUUUCUAUCAUGUAAGCUAUGUAAACAAGAAUUUGUAUGCUUACCUCUGUUUCAUUUUCUUACUAUAGAUUAAUAACCAUAGAUAGCAGAUCUGAAAAAGUUUUGGUUGGGUCAAGAUACAGAAAAACCAAGAAAUUACAAAAAUUGGAUGCAGGAAAUCGAAUUUCCAUACUUAAAUCGCAUUCUUGUGUGUUACGGUAUCAAUUUUUAAAAAAUUUGAAGUGCAUAUCUGGGCUCCCUUCUUUUCUGUGGCCCCGUUUCCCCUUGACUCAUAAUAAGCCCGUAGGGGGUCAUGCCUCUACU
Long non-coding RNA from Daphnia magna, 2187 nucleotides. RefSeq lists it as uncharacterized. Lineage: Eukaryota; Metazoa; Arthropoda; Branchiopoda; Diplostraca; Daphniidae. The record is from RefSeq and is a predicted model, not a curated record. The transcript has 4 exons.